GAGUUUGAUCCUGGCUCAGAGCGAACGCUGGCGGCAGGCUUAACACAUGCAAGUCGAGCGCCCCGCAAGGGGGGCGGCAGACGGGAGAGUAACACGUGGGAACGUACCCUUCAGUUCGGAACAACCCAGGGAAACUUGGGCUAAUACCGAAUACGUCCGUAAGGAGAAAGAUUUAUCGCUGAAGGAUCGGCCCGCGUCUGAUUAGCUAGUUGGUGGGGUAACGGCCCACCAAGGCUACGAUCAGUAGCUGGUCUGAGAGGAUGAUCAGCCUCACUGGGACUGAGACACGGCCCAGACUCCUACGGGAGGCAGCAGUGGGGAAUAUUGGACAAUGGGCGCAAGCCUGAUCCAGCCAUGCCGCGUGGGUGAUGAAGGCCCUAGGGUUGUAAAGCCCUUUCGGCGGGGAAGAUAAUGACGGUACCCGCAGAAGAAGCCCCGGCUAACUUCGUGCCAGCAGCCGCGGUAAUACGAAGGGGGCUAGCGUUGCUCGGAAUCACUGGGCGUAAAGCGCACGUAGGCGGGUUGUUAAGUCGGGGGUGAAAUCCUGGAGCUCAACUCCAGAACUGCCCUCGAUACUGGCGAUCUUGAGUCCGGGAGAGGUGAGUGGAACUGCGAGUGUAGAGGUGAAAUUCGUAGAUAUUCGCAAGAACACCAGUGGCGAAGGCGGCUCACUGGCCCGGUACUGACGCUGAUGUGCGAAAGCGUGGGGAGCAAACA
RNAcentral lists this ribosomal RNA (717 nucleotides) under uncultured bacterium. RNAcentral describes it as "bacterial SSU rRNA". It matches the Rfam family "Bacterial small subunit ribosomal RNA", at positions 9 to 774 of the family's 1533-position model. The record is from RNAcentral.